RNAcentral lists this ribosomal RNA (497 nucleotides) under uncultured bacterium. RNAcentral's name for it is "partial 16S ribosomal RNA". It matches the Rfam family "Bacterial small subunit ribosomal RNA", at positions 28 to 507 of the family's 1533-position model. The record is from RNAcentral.
GAUGAACGCUGGCGGCGUGCCUAAUACAUGCAAGUCGAGCGAACAGAUAAGGAGCUUGCUCCUUUGACGUUAGCGGCGGACGGGUGAGUAACACGUGGGUAACCUACCUAUAAGACUGGAAUAACUCCGGGAAACCGGGGCUAAUGCAGGAUAACAUGUUGAACCGCAUGGUUCUACAGUGAAAGGCGGCUUUGCUGUCACUUAUAGAUGGACCCGCGCCGUAUUAGCUAGUUGGUGAGGUAACGGCUCACCAAGGCAACGAUACGUAGCCGACCUGAGAGGGUGAUCGGCCACACUGGAACUGAGACACGGUCCAGACUCCUACGGGAGGCAGCAGUAGGGAAUCUUCCGCAAUGGGCGAAAGCCUGACGGAGCAACGCCGCGUGAGUGAUGAAGGUCUUCGGAUCGUAAAACUCUGUUAUUAGGGAAGAACAAAUGCGUAAGUAACUGUGCGCGUCUUGACGGUACCUAAUCAGAAAGCCACGGCUAAUUACGUG